This 474-nucleotide ribosomal RNA is filed under the name uncultured Glomus. Its description in RNAcentral is "SSU rRNA". It matches the Rfam family "Eukaryotic small subunit ribosomal RNA", at positions 569 to 1048 of the family's 1831-position model. Lineage: Eukaryota; Fungi; Glomeromycota; Glomeromycetes; Glomerales; Glomeraceae. The record is from RNAcentral.
AGCAGCCGCGGUAAUUCCAGCUCCAAUAGCGUAUAUUAAAGUUGCUGCAGUUAAAAAGCUCGUAGUUGAAUUUCGGGACCAUCAUGUCGGUCGUGCCUCGGUACGUACUGGCAUUGUUGGUUUCUCCCUUCUGACGAACCAUGAUGUCAUUUAUUUGGUGUUGUGGGGAAUCAGGACUGUUACUUUGAAAAAAUUAGAGUGUUUAAAGCAAGCUAACGCUUGAAUACAUUAGCAUGGAAUAAUGAAAUAGGACGUUCGAUCCUAUUUUGUUGGUUUCUAGGAUUGACGUAAUGAUUAAUAGGGAUAGUUGGGGGCAUUAGUAUUCAAUUGUCAGAGGUGAAAUUCUUGGAUUUAUUGAAGACUAACUACUGCGAAAGCAUUUGCCAAGGAUGUUUUCAUUAAUCAAGAACGAAAGUUAAGGGAUCGAAGACGAUCAGAUACCGUCGUAGUCUUAACCAUAAACUAUGCCGACUA